RNAcentral lists this ribosomal RNA (408 nucleotides) under uncultured bacterium. RNAcentral describes it as "partial 16S ribosomal RNA". It matches the Rfam family "Bacterial small subunit ribosomal RNA", at positions 28 to 526 of the family's 1533-position model. The record is from RNAcentral.
GACGAACGCUGGCGGCGUGCUUAACACAUGCAAGUCGAACGAAGUGGCGAACGGGUGAGUAACGCGUAAUCAAACUGCCCUUCAGAGGGGGACAACAGUUGGAAACGACUGCUAAUACCGCAUACUGAAGGAGGGGAUUGCGUCUGAUGAGCUUGUGGGAGGGGUAACGGCCCACCAAGGCGAUGAUCAGUAGCCGGGCUGAGUGGCGGAACGGCAACAUGGGGACUGGGACACGGCCCAGACUCCUACGGGAGGCAGCAGUGGGGAAUCUUCCGCAAUGGACGAAAGUCUGACGGAGCAACGCCGCGUGAGUGAUGACGGCCUUCGGGUUGUAAAGCUCUGUUAAUCGGGACGCGGUACCGGAAUAGAAAGCCACGGCUAACUACGUGCCAGCAGCCGCGGUAAUUC